UACAGAGGUCUCAAGCGUUGUUCGGAUUCAUUGGGCGUAAAGGGUGCGUAGGUGGCGCCGUAAGUCAGGUGUGAAAUUUCGGAGCUUAACUCCGAAACUGCAUUCGAUACUGCGGUGCUUGAGGACUGGAGAGGAGACUGGAAUUUAUGGUGUAGCAGUGAAAUGCGUAGAGAUCAUAAGGAAGACCAGUGGCGAAGGCGGGUCUCUGGACAGUUCCUGACACUGAGGCACGAAGGCCAGGGGAGCAAACGGG
Molecule: ribosomal RNA, 253 nt
Filed under: uncultured bacterium
Lineage: Bacteria
Description: partial 16S ribosomal RNA
Rfam family: Bacterial small subunit ribosomal RNA
Source: RNAcentral